UGACAAAGUACAAAUAACACCGUACCGAAAGAAAGUUUUCGUGUACUGUUGACAUACAUCCUGUAAAUGAAUUACAUUUCUAAUUUUGUUGCAGAAAUAAUUACAAUAUAGAAAACAACAUUCGUAAAUAUGCAAAUGACGAAAUUAUAAAUAUAAAUAUUCAAUAAUUUUCUUUCCAUGAUUGUACACUUGUUUGUGUAAUAUACACCUAAUGAAGUACGCUAACAUAGGGAUAGGGAUUUUAGUUGGAAAAUUAGUUAAAGUUUACUGAUUAAAAUGAGGAUAAUAAUAAUACAUUAUUGUUUAUAAAAUCCAAUUGGCAAAGAAUUAUAACUAUGGCAUAUUUAAUGGGAAAUUUCCACAAAAACAUGAUUUUACAGAAAAGUUAACUUCAAUCGUCUUCCUUGUCUUGUUAUUUGUAGCGCAAUUUUCUUUCUUCCUUCGCGUUCCAUCAAAAUGAAGCUUUUAAGUCGGAACAAAUGCAAUUUUUACCGAUCACUGUAAUGUAUAUGUUUCUCUGUCACUUUACAAAACGUACUAUUUAUUGCACAGUUGCGUUACGCAUUUGUUUGUUUUAAAAAGUCAGUGCGUUAUUUCUACUGCAAAGUAUUGAUAUUAUUUGCAGAUAAUCGCAUAAAAUACUAACAUAAUGUUUCCGAAUGUGUUCUCUUGUAAUUAUGUAUGGUUACAAUUAUCUCACAUCUUUGUUUUUUAAUUGGAUGAAAGUGUAUGUGUGUGUGUUAUACGUAUGUAAAAAUUUGGAUAUAACUUACAAACACACCUUACAUGGCCUUUGUGCGAAAUAUCGCAGAUAAUUGCUAUAUGUAUAUUGAAGUUGAUGGCUAUAUGGAUGUUGAAGUUGAAUCAAUUAAAAAACAAUUUCAAAACAGCUAACUGCGAUUACCUGUGUGGGAUUUACAUCUAUGUAAAUUGUUUUUACUGGUUUAAAUAACUAAAUAAAUUGCAUGUUGUUUACAUUAGAUGUCUUAAUUAAUAGUUGCGGCAUCGUUUACAUAUUCCUAUCACACAUCAUGUGGCAAUUUCUGAAAACUAUUCUGUUACAGAACAGAUUAUUUCCGUAACUUUAAUUAAGUGCCCUUACUGAAGAAUUUUACGUCAGCACGCCAUGAUACAAACAAACCGUUUAAAACAAUUUUAAGACGUUACAGACAUGUGUUGAUUCUUAACAGAACGAAAGAUUUGACAUACAAAUAUAUGUUUCCAAUAUUUCGAACUGUUUCGUUUAUCAAUGUAAUAAGAACGAUUUUGUUCCUUGGUCUUUACUCAUGAUUAUUGUAUUCCUUGUAAUAUACAAACAUUUCGUCCUCUCUUUGGAAAAUACUAAUGUUUCAAAUAGUAUAAUACCAUCAUAGUGGUAUUGAAUAAACGACAUUGUAUUUAGUAAAGUGAAAAUCGUAUCAUUAGGAAUAAAUUUGUUGACCCGGAGGGUGUAAUUGUUUUCUACAUUUAAUUGUAUGUUUAGUUUUGUAGAGAAACAAUUUAUUCGUAUCCCCAAAAUACCCACAACAUACUGUAUCAUUGCAGUGUAUAAUAAUGUACUAUUAAGUCAUUUAUACUGAAUUAAGAAAAUUGCAUUCCCUUCGCUUGAUAGUUUACUUAUGAUUACCUCUGCAGUAGUAAUAAUUAUGAACACAACAAGAUAAUUUUAAUUAUUUUCACAGCAUUCACAGUAACCGAUGAUCACUAUCCCCCUAUUACGAGCCCCUCCUUCAGUUGUCUUGGUAGAAAGCUUCACUAAUGUCCAAUAUUUAUGCAUAUUUUUUCUACAACUAUUCUGUACCUUUAUAACUACAAUUUUCAUUAUUUUUACAGAUUUCACAGUCACCUAUCAUCGCCGCUCCCCUACGACCCUCUCUUUUAGUUGUCUUGCCACAAUUUCGGAUUUAACCGUCACCGAUAAUUUUCGCCACUCUACGAGCAUCCCUUUAACUUGUCCUGUCACAGUUUUUGAUUUCACAGUCAGAGAUAAUUUUCGCCACUCUA
Molecule: long non-coding RNA, 2004 nt
Filed under: Agrilus planipennis (emerald ash borer)
Lineage: Eukaryota; Metazoa; Arthropoda; Insecta; Coleoptera; Buprestidae
Description: uncharacterized LOC112906064, transcript variant X2
Source: RNAcentral